RNAcentral lists this ribosomal RNA (395 nucleotides) under Synura spinosa. RNAcentral's name for it is "partial small subunit ribosomal RNA". It matches the Rfam family "Eukaryotic small subunit ribosomal RNA", at positions 30 to 432 of the family's 1831-position model. Lineage: Eukaryota; Synurophyceae; Synurales; Mallomonadaceae. The record is from RNAcentral.
GCUUGUCUCAAAGAUUAAGCCAUGCAUGUCUAAGUAUAAACGACUUUAUACAGUGAAACUGCGAAUGGCUCAUUAAAUCAGUUAUAGUUUAUUUGAUAAUACCUUACUACUUGGAUAACCGUGGUAAUUCUAGAGCUAAUACAUGCUACACAACCCGACUUCUGGAAGGGUGGUACUGAUUAGAUACAAAACCAAUCCGGGCAACCGGUUCACUGGUGAUUCAUAAUAACUUUCGGAUCGAUCCUCGGAUCGAUGCAUCAUUCAAGUUUCUGCCCUAUCAGCUUUGGAUGGUAGGGUAUUGGCCUACCAUGGCUUUAACGGGUAACGGAGAAUUAGGGUUCGAUUCCGGAGAGGGAGCCUGAGAAAUGGCUACCACAUCCAAGGAAGGCAGCAGG